UAAGGAAUAUUGGUCAAUGGGCGCAAGCCUGAACCAGCCAUGCCGCGUGAAGGAUGACGGCCCUAUGGGUUGUAAACUUCUUUUAUACGGGAAAAAACCUCUGGUCGUGUACCAGAGCUGAUGGUACCGUAAGAAUAAGCAUCGGCUAACUCCGUGCCAGCAGCCGCGGUAAUACGGAGGAUGCAAGCGUUAUCCGGAUUCAUUGGGUUUAAAGGGUGCGCAGGCGGAUUAUUAAGUCAGUGGUGAAAGCCUACAGCUUAACUGUAGAACUGCCAUUGAUACUGAUAUUCUUGAGUGUUGUUGAGGUAGGCGGAAUGUGUCAUGUAGCGGUGAAAUGCUUAGAUAUGACACAGAACACCGAUCGCGAAGGCAGCUUACCAAGCAACAACUGACGCUCAU
Molecule: ribosomal RNA, 399 nt
Filed under: uncultured bacterium
Lineage: Bacteria
Description: bacterial SSU rRNA
Rfam family: Bacterial small subunit ribosomal RNA
Source: RNAcentral